This 433-nucleotide ribosomal RNA is filed under the name uncultured bacterium. Its description in RNAcentral is "partial 16S ribosomal RNA". It matches the Rfam family "Bacterial small subunit ribosomal RNA", at positions 29 to 507 of the family's 1533-position model. The record is from RNAcentral.
AACGAACGCUGGCGGCAUGCCUAACACAUGCAAGUCGAACGAGGCCUUCGGGUCUAGUGGCGCACGGGUGCGUAACGCGUGGGAACCUGCCCUUAGGUUCGGAAUAACUCCCCGAAAGGGGUGCUAAUACCGGAUAAUGUCUUCGGACCAAAGAUUUAUCGCCUUUGGGUGGGCCCGCGUUGGAUUAGCUAGUUGGUAGGGUAAAAGCCUACCAAGGCGACGAUCCAUAGCUGGUCUGAGAGGAUGAUCAGCCACACUGGGACUGAGACACGGCCCAGACUCCUACGGGAGGCAGCAGUGGGGAAUAUUGGACAAUGGGCGAAAGCCUGAUCCAGCAAUGCCGCGUGAGUGAUGAAGGCCUUAGGGUUGUAAAGCUCUUUUACCCGGGAUGAUAAUGACAGUACCGGGAGAAUAAGCUCCGGCUAACUCCGUG